RNAcentral lists this long non-coding RNA (4029 nucleotides) under Marmota monax (woodchuck). The record is from RNAcentral. Lineage: Eukaryota; Metazoa; Chordata; Mammalia; Rodentia; Sciuridae.
GAUGUUUGUUUGUUUUUUUUUUUUUUAACGUGAUGCUGGGGACCAAACCCAGUGCCUCACCCUUACUAGGCAAGCACUCUACCACUGAGCUACAACCUCACCUCUUCUUCCUACUACUGUGGACUAGUUGGUCAGUAAGUGAGCCUUCAUCCCCUGGAUGGGUAGUUAAGGUUUUUUUCUUCCCUUGGUUUAUAUGUCAGUGUAUUAGUUGCCUCAUUCAUGCCAAGACUAAUAACUGUUGAAAACGAUUAGUUGAUUGGCUUUACUCCAUAAAAAAGCAAAAAGUAAGAGAAGUGAUCAUAUAGCCAGAUGUUUCUGAAACUUGAAUAAAGUGUGGGUAAUAACAUGUUUAUAUAACCAUGUUACUUAGUAUUUACAAACCUACACCUAGGUAUAAAAUCCUUUAACUACAGAACUCAAAUGUUAUCAAAAACAAUUUUUUAAAACUUAAGCACUAAUCAAAGGACAAAUGAAAAAAUUAACCUAGCAUUCCUGAUGUUGUGGGUUAGCUGAAAUUUACCUUCUUUUUCCUCACAAGACUCUGAUACUGAUUGCUACAUAAAGUUCUUUAGAGUAUGUGAUUCCUCCAUGCUAUUCCCCCCAUGUGCCUUGUGGUACAACACUUUGGUGCUACUACUUUUCCAUACUUGAACUAACAUUAUUCAUAAGGCUUCCUUGGUCUCCAUACAAUGUGACCAUCAUUUUUAUAAUACUUCUGAUGAUUGCUAACAUUCAGUGAGUACAAGCAUUUAGCAAACUUCAUUUUAUUUUAUUUAUUUCAUUUAUAGUCUUUUUUAUUUGUUAAUUUUAGGUAUAUGUGACUGUAGAGUAUAUGUUGACAUUUGUACAAAUAUGGCGGAUAUUUUAUUCUAAUUAGGAUCCCAGUUUUGUGGAUAUACAUGAUGUGGAGAUUCACUGUGGAAUACUUAUGUAUGUAAAUAUUCCCAUUCUCCCUUCCCUUCAUUUCCCUUUGUCUAAUCCACUGGUGCAAGCAUCAAAUUUCCCCAUUUGAGGGCCUAAAGAUGGCAGCCAUUCACUCUAACCCAUUGUGACAAGAUUUGGAACAGGAUCUAUAAUCUCCAUAUCCACUCUAGAGAGGUCUGUCCUAGCAUUGGAGAGUUAUCCAAGUCAAUGUGGAAAAUGGGGGCUGACACAGAAAACUAGAAUCAUCAGACCAGCUGAGCAAAUGGGCCUCUCAAGUAGCACAAUCCACCCAGCUGGCCUCCAUUUCAAUGGUCUAGAGAAGUCCCCUUGGAAUUAGAAUAACCAUUCUUUCUUAAGAAUUUUUUUUUAAAUUUUUUAUUGUUAGUUGUUCAAAACAUUACAUAGUAUCUUAAGAAUUUUUUUAAAAGAUUUUUUUUAUUUGUUCUACUUAGUUGUAUAUGACAGCAGAAUGCAUUUCAAUUCAUUGUACACAAAUGGAGCACAACAUUUCAAUUCUCUGGUUGUACAUGAUGUAGAGAUGGACCUUUCGUGCAGUUAAAUGUGUACCUAGGGUAAUGAUGUCCUUUGCAUUUCACCAUCUUUCCUACCCCCAUGAUCCCUCCCCUCCCUCCCCUUUGUCCAAUCCAAAGUUCCUUCAUUCUUCACAUGUCCCUCCUGCCCCCAUCAUGGGUCAGCAUCCACUAAUCAGAGAAAACAUUCAGCCUUUAGUUUUUUGGGAUUGGUUUACUUUGCUUAGCAUGAUAUUCUCCAACUCCAUCCAUUCACUUGCAAAUGCCAUAAUUUUAUUCUCUUUUAAUGCAAGUAGUAUUUAAUUGUGUAUAUAUACCACAGUGUCUUUAUCCAUUCAUUUACUCAUGGGCAUCUAGGUUGGUUCCACAGUUUAGCUAUUGUGAAUUCAGCUGCUAUAAACGUUGAUGUGGCUGUGUUACUAUAGUAUGCUGAUUUUGAGUCCUUUGGGUAUAGACAAAGGAAUGGGAUAUCUGGGUCAAAUGGUGGUUCCUUUUCAAGUUUUCUAAGGAAUCUCCACACUGCUUUCUAAAGUGGUUGCAUAUAACAAACAAUUUGCAAUCCCACCAGCAAUAUAUGAUUGUUCCUUUUUUCCCCACAUCCUUGUCAACACUUAUUGCUUGUAUUUUUGAUAACUGCCAUUCUGACUAGGGUGAGAUGAAAUCUUAGAGUAGUUUUGAUUUGCAUUUCUCUAAUUACUAAAGAUGUUGAAUAUUUUUUUUUCAUAUAUUUGCAAACUUCAUUUUAAAAACUUAGUACUUACAACAAAUCUAUGAUGAAGUAUUGAUAUAUACGUACCAUCUUGUGGGUAGAGAAAUUAAGGCUUAGAGAUAGUAAUUUGAUGUCACAAAGCUAGCAGGUGGUUACACUAGACUAAGCAAUUUUACUCCAGAACCCAUACUUGUAACCAGUUGGUAUUAUUGCCUCCUUGUAAGCCAUUAGCCUACUUUUAUUAAAUUUUGACAAUCGAAGUAAUGUUUUUGCCAACCGUGUUAUUAUAAAUGUAAUACCAAAUAUUGACCCAAAUGGACACCAUCAUGCUUAUAAAUAUUUCUCAUCAUUGAAAUGAUAAGAAAUGAAGAUGCAAAUUAAAAUAAUUGUAUAGUGCUGAGAGCCAUAGCCAAGUAGGAAUGACAUGGCAUUUUUAAUUGAAAGGUGACCCUGCUCUGGGAUUAGGAUGGCUCCAGGUUUAGGGUGGAUCCUGCUGGAUUAGGGUGGUUCCAGGUUUAGGGUGGAUCCUGCUGGGAAUAGGGUGUAUCCUGCUGCCUCAGGCGCCCACUCCUUGAGUUCCUUGAGUUCCCGUUGAGUUUGUGCGGGGUUCUGAGAGUAUUUGGUACACAGAGCCCGGUGAAGGGAGUGUAUUUUUCCCGGAAAAAUGCGUGUAGAGCCGGGGAGUUCGGGAAUAAAGAGUUGCUGUUUGAAUCUACCAGGCUUUGUGGUGGCUCGGUUAUUUUGUGCCCAGCCAGAUUGCGGCAGUAUAGAAUUCCUGGUUUACUAAGACUAUAGAGGAAACAUUGAUUUGGAAGUCUUUUAAGAACUUAAAACAUAGCCAGGCAUGGUGGCACACACCUGUAAUCCCAGUGGCUCAGGAGGCUGAGACAGGAGGAUCUCGAGUUCAAAACCAGCCUCAGCAAAAGUGAGGAACUAAGGAACUCAGGAGACCCUGUCUCUAAAUAAAAUACAAAAAUAAGGCUGGGGAUGUGGCUCAGUGGUCGAGUGCCCCUGAGUUUAAUCCCCAGUACAAAAAAAAAAAAAAGAACCUAAAAUGUGUGGAAAUAUAAGUAAAGCCAUUAUUGAAGGCAAUUCAUUCAGUCAUUACUCGAAGUAUAUAAAUUAUAUUAUCCAUUGGGCUACCAACUCCCCUUAAAGGGAACAAAUCUGAAUUAGAACAGGAGAAACAUUCACAAAGUAAACUUCCAUUUUUAAAAGAUAUUUAUUUUUUAGUUGUAGUUGGACACAAUAUCUUUAUUUUAUUUAUUUUUAUGUGAUGCUAAGGAUCGAACACAGGGCCUUGCACAUGCUAGGCGAGUGCCGUACCACAGAGCCACAACCCCAGUCCGUAGACUUACAUUUUUGACUGUAAAAGCAGGUAGAUAUGAGGCUCAUUGCCAAAGGAGGCUAUGGAAUUUGUCCAUUACCUUGUGUUGUAUUGUUGUUUGCCCAAUGUUUAAAUGGUGUGGUAACUUAUCUUCUUAGAGAUAGAUGAUGGAGAUGAGAUAGGUUGUUUUGUUACAAGUCAUGCACUGCAUAAGGACAUGUUGAUCAAAAGAUGGACUGUAAAUACAAGGUAGUCCCAAAAGAGUAUAAUGAAGCUGAAAAUUUUCUGUCUCUUAGUCAUAGCAUUGUAGCUGUCCUGAUAUCUAUCCUAGGACAAAGCAUUACUCAAUGUUUAUGGCAGUGCUGUGUAAACACCCACUGUGUGGCUAGUUGUAUAAAAUAUAACACAUGCUAUCAUGACAAUAUGUGAUACUUGGGGCUGGGGAUGUGGCUCAAGCGGUAGCGCGCUCGCCUGCCAUGCGUGCGGCCUGGGUUCGAUCCUCAGCACCACAUACAAAUAAAGAUGUUGUGUCUGCCGAA